This 104-nucleotide transfer RNA is filed under the name soil metagenome. It matches the Rfam family "tRNA". From Rfam's summary of the family: Transfer RNA (tRNA) molecules are approximately 80 nucleotides in length. Their secondary structure includes four short double-helical elements and three loops (D, anti-codon, and T loops). The record is from RNAcentral.
GCGGGGCUAGUCUAAUGGUAGGACAGAAGCUUCCCACGGUCUCGUGACCGCCGGAUGCGGGCCGGAAUGAGCUUCUAACGCGGGUUCGAUUCCCGCGCCCCGCA